UCCGCAGUGCCCCAAGUGUCCCCGGACACCAAGCUGGCUCACUCUGGCGGCCGCCAUAACCCCUGCCCGGCAGCCUCUGCGGCCGGAAGUUGGCUCGGCCGGUGUUCGGGGCAUCCCUCGGGCAGUUAACCGCACUUCCGCUGGCUGGGUAUCCGCGGCAAGUUCAGAUCAUUAGUUGGCUGGAGUUAAUUAACCACCAGACAAUUAGCUUAUCUUUUUCCCGAUCCUAAGACCAGCUGGAUUGGUGAGGAGGAACUAGAGACAACAGCUUCCUUCUGAGUCACCUUGAGGCAGCAGCCACUGGGGAAAUGCAGGGAAGGACACUACCCAGGCUUCCUGGAGGGGUUGGCCCCAGGGCAUGCCCUGCUUGGGCGGAAAAGCUUGGAGUUUAGAUGAGGAAGCCUGAAUUCUCCUCUAGACCUCCUGCCAACUCUUUGCCUGACCUUGGGCAAAACAUUUAACUCUCUUCUGGGCCUUGGUUUCUUUAGCAAACACUGACGCCUGCUUCUCCGGCUCGCCCCCGCGCCCCACUCCCCCCACCGCUUUUUAAAUGUUUAUUAUUUUUUUAAUCAUGGUUUUAUUAGCUAAGGGUAUAAAUAUGUAUUAAUAAAUAUUAUGACCUUUAAAAUUUUAAAACAAAUGCAAAACCUGCAGCAUUUUUCGGGAAUUGAUUCUCUGUACAUAAAAAUGAGAUUAGUCAAUCCUUUUGGUGUCUGUUUAGCAUACAAUGAGUACAUCCAGAUAGUUAAGACCCUUGGAAUCAAGAUUAAGAGAACCAUCAAUUAAGGAGGCAGUGCGCACCUCUCCAGGGAAAUUUACUCCAGUGCUUCAUCCUACCUCAUUGGACACAGCCGACCGUGUUGGUCCUGGUUCCCUCUUCAAAUGCUGGCUCCUGGAAAUAGCAUCAAAGCAAGCAGCUGAUAAGACAAAACUGGGUUGUUGCUUAUGCUAAGGGGAAGCACCACCUUGAAAGAGUCAUUGUAGAGUGGAGGUCGGGAGGGCAAAGUUGAGAUACUGAGGUUUUGGGGUUUGGUUUAAGGCAGGUCCUUUGAUGUCGGACUUAAUCAGGGCUGGGUAAGGAUCAUGUUAUAAUAGUUUAGGAUUGUUGGUCACAGUUUUGUAUUGGUGGUCACAGUGAAGUGAGGGCUUCAAAGACUCUUGGAGCUUUCUUUGAUGCUCCCUGUUGAAGAGCUGUGUGGUUUUAUUAAUGGAUUUUCCUGAACUCAAGGAGUAAGGUUAUUUGCAACUUUUGUGUUUCUGGGCAAGCAUUUCCUGGAAUAAUAAAGUCACAAUAAUAGAGUCAUGUUAUUUUGCUUCAGCAAUUGUGAGUCGGAGUACUCUGCUAUUUGUAUCCAGAGGCACCCUGUUAUGGUUUCCUUGUGUGUAAAAUGGGGA
Molecule: long non-coding RNA, 1395 nt
Filed under: Homo sapiens (human)
Lineage: Eukaryota; Metazoa; Chordata; Mammalia; Primates; Hominidae
Description: HSALNT0226726
Source: RNAcentral